Molecule: transfer RNA, 71 nt
Filed under: Periplaneta constricta
Lineage: Eukaryota; Metazoa; Arthropoda; Insecta; Blattodea; Blattidae
Description: tRNA-Tyr
Source: RNAcentral
AGUAGAAUGGCUGAGAUUAAAUAAGUGAUAGACUGUAAAUCUAUUAAGGAGAAAGGUGUUCUCUUCUACUA